Molecule: long non-coding RNA, 704 nt
Organism: Mus musculus (house mouse)
Lineage: Eukaryota; Metazoa; Chordata; Mammalia; Rodentia; Muridae
Product: predicted gene, 39208
Exons: 3
Source: RefSeq, a predicted model, not a curated record
AUUGCAUUUUUGUUGCUGGAUCCUGCCAGUUUUGAUGGCCUCUGGGCCAUGGAACAUGCUGACAUCAGGUAUCCUGUGCAGAGGAAAGAGCUGUGCUUUUGCACCACUGAGCAGCACAGUGAUUGACAGUGCUACACAGGUGUCCUCUUCUUGAAGGGCUCUCUGCAUAUACUUCUGUAGAACAAGAUUGCAACUGGAAAGCUUUUCAGCAGACCAGACACCAGCUGAUACUUGAAAUGCAGAUUAAAUACCCCACAGAAGGUCUUGUGUGCUUCUGCAGGGCUUGUGUGGACUUUGGAGGUAGAUACUUAAACCCUGUUAGGAGCAAGAAGAAUGCAGCUCAGUGGACUGGUGGAACUCCUCUUGAUAACAUCUCCUUUCUUGAGUGUCCCUCUCCUCAGCCAGGUACCCCGAGAUUACUGGAUCCAUGCCCUAAGAUGACCUCACUACUACUUAAAGUCACAACUGGUCUUGACACUGUCCACAUGAUUGUCAUUUUUUUUUCAGGCAUUCUGAGUGCAAGAAUCACAAAACCAAGAAGGAUUCCAAAGGAAACCUUAGGCUUUGUAAGCAAUGAGUAACAGCAGGUCAAGGAGAGCCUUAAGGAAGUCUCUGGGAGGGCAAUCAGUGAAUCUGUGAAGGAUAGAUGAACACAUAAUGGAGAACUCAGGAUGUUGGCUAUUCUAGGAAGAUGAACCAUGUGC